Leptidea sinapis is the source of this 502-nucleotide long non-coding RNA. RefSeq lists it as uncharacterized. The transcript is spliced from 2 exons. Lineage: Eukaryota; Metazoa; Arthropoda; Insecta; Lepidoptera; Pieridae. The record is from RefSeq and is a predicted model, not a curated record.
GUUCUGCGUUUGAAAAUGGCAAAUAGGUAAUUAAAAUUCUGACAAAAUUGACGUAUCUACAAACGAAACAUCAGCUGUACAAUCAUGCAAACUUAAAACUACAAAGUGUAUGGCAAUGUCAUAAUGUCCAUCGCAACGCAUAUAAUAACCAAUUAGCCACUACAAAAUGAAGCACAACCCAUGAAUGGGGUUUUUCAGAAAGCUUGUAAUACUUUACAUACUCGUAUAUAUAAUAUUUUAUUUAGGACUCGUCGGUGCACUUGUUUACGUUCGGAAUGUCAUUAUUGGACAGGAAAGAAUAUAACAUAAGCUACUGACACUGGAGCAAUAAAGAAAACCAUACUUUUUUGUAUACAAUUUAUUACAAAACACAGGCACUGAAAUUGGACGGAACUGGUAAUCAACACUACAAUGAAAAAUGUGUCAAAAUAAUUAAAAUUAACACAAAUAUGCAAAACAGUCAUUUGUAUAAAACAAAAAAAUAAACAAUAUCAAAAUAUUA